UCGUAACAAGGUUUCCGUAGGUGAACCUGCGGAAGGAUCAUUACUGAUUUGCUUAAUUGCACCACAUGUGUUUUUCUUUGAAACAAACUUGCUUUGGCGGUGGGCCCAGCCUGCCGCCAGAGGUCUAAACUUACAACCAAUUUUUUAUCAACUUGUCACACCAGAUUAUUACUAAUAGUCAAAACUUUCAACAACGGAUCUCUUGGUUCUCGCAUCGAUGAAGAACGCAGCGAAAUGCGAUACGUAAUAUGAAUUGCAGAUAUUCGUGAAUCAUCGAAUCUUUGAACGCACAUUGCGCCCUCUGGUAUUCCGGAGGGCAUGCCUGUUUGAGCGUCGUUUCUCCCUCAAACCGCUGGGUUUGGUGUUGAGCAAUACGACUUGGGUUUGCUUGAAAGACGGUAGUGGUAAGGCGGGAUCGCUUUGACAAUGGCUUAGGUCUAACCAAAAACAUUGUUUGCGGCGGUAACGUCCACCACGUAUAUCUUCAAACUUUGACCUCAAAUCAGGUAG
RNAcentral lists this ribosomal RNA (510 nucleotides) under Candida albicans. RNAcentral's name for it is "eukaryotic LSU rRNA". The stretch from base 183 to 336 matches the Rfam family "5.8S ribosomal RNA". Lineage: Eukaryota; Fungi; Ascomycota; Pichiomycetes; Serinales; Debaryomycetaceae. The record is from RNAcentral.